UACGUAGGCAGCGAGCGUUGUUCGGAAUUACUGGGCGUAAAGAGUGCGUAGGCGGUGCUCUAAGUUUGGUGUGAAAUCUCCCGGCUUAACCGGGAGGGUGCGCCGAAGACUGGAGUGCUUGAGUGUGGGAGAGGAAAGCGGAAUUCCUGGUGUAGCGGUGAAAUGCGUAGAUAUCAGGAGGAACACCUGCGGUGUAGACGGCUUUCUGGACCACGACUGACGCUGAGGCACGAAAGCGUGGGUAGCAAACAGG
RNAcentral lists this ribosomal RNA (253 nucleotides) under uncultured bacterium. RNAcentral describes it as "partial 16S ribosomal RNA". It matches the Rfam family "Bacterial small subunit ribosomal RNA", at positions 524 to 776 of the family's 1533-position model. RNAcentral also lists the same sequence under 2 other names. The record is from RNAcentral.